UACGUAGGGGGCAAGCGUUGUCCGGAUUUAUUGGGCGUAAAGAGCGUGUAGGCGGCCAGGUAGGUCAGCUGUGAAAACUCGAGGCUCAACCUCGAGACGUCGGUUGAAACCAUCUGGCUAGAGUCCGGAAGAGGAGAGUGGAAUUCCUGGUGUAGCGGUGAAAUGCGCAGAUAUCAGGAGGAACACCGAUGGCGAAGGCAGGUCUCUGGGCAUUAACUGACGCUGAGGAGCGAAAGCAUGGGGAGCGAACAGG
This 253-nucleotide ribosomal RNA is filed under the name uncultured bacterium. Its description in RNAcentral is "partial 16S ribosomal RNA". It matches the Rfam family "Bacterial small subunit ribosomal RNA", at positions 524 to 776 of the family's 1533-position model. The record is from RNAcentral.